UACGAAGGGGGCUAGCGUUGCUCGGAAUGACUGGGCGUAAAGGGCGCGUAGGCGGAUGGCACAGUCAGAUGUGAAAUUCCCGGGCUUAACCUGGGGGCUGCAUUUGAUACGUGUGAUCUAGAGUGAGGAAGAGGGUCGUGGAAUUCCCAGUGUAGAGGUGAAAUUCGUAGAUAUUGGGAAGAACACCGGUGGCGAAGGCGGCGACCUGGUCCUUGACUGACGCUGAGGCGCGAAAGCGUGGGUAGCAAACAGG
This 253-nucleotide ribosomal RNA is filed under the name uncultured bacterium. RNAcentral's name for it is "partial 16S ribosomal RNA". It matches the Rfam family "Bacterial small subunit ribosomal RNA", at positions 524 to 776 of the family's 1533-position model. The record is from RNAcentral.